RNAcentral lists this ribosomal RNA (494 nucleotides) under uncultured bacterium. RNAcentral describes it as "partial 16S ribosomal RNA". It matches the Rfam family "Bacterial small subunit ribosomal RNA", at positions 28 to 507 of the family's 1533-position model. The record is from RNAcentral.
GACGAACGCUGGCGGCGCGCUUAACACAUGCAAGUCGAACGGAAAGGCCUGCUUUCCCUUGUGGCUUGCGGGUACUCGAGUGGCGAACGGGUUAGUAACACGUGAGUGAUCUGCCCCCAACUUGGGUAUAAGCCUGGUAACCUGGGUCUAAUUCCCGAUAGCACUGCAGUGUGGUGCCUGUGGUUUAACACGAUUUUCUAGUGGUUGGGGAUGAGCUCGCGGCCUAUCAGCUUGUUGGUGGGGUAAUGGCCUACCAAGGCGGCUACGGGUAGCCGGGCUGAGGGGGCGGACGGGGACAGUGGGAAUGAGAAACGGCCCAGAGUCCGACGGGAGGCAGAAGUGGGGAAGAGUGGAAGAUGUGGGGAAGCGUGAAGAAGGGACGACGGGUGGGGGAUGAAGGGCUGCGGGAGGGAAAAUGCUUUCGGCCGCGAAGAAGCCACCUGGUUGGGAGGGUAGUGACGGUAGUGGUAGAAGAAGCACCGGCUAACUACGUG